Molecule: transfer RNA, 75 nt
Filed under: Clostridia bacterium
Lineage: Bacteria; Bacillati; Bacillota; Clostridia
Description: tRNA-Pro
Rfam family: tRNA
About the family: Transfer RNA (tRNA) molecules are approximately 80 nucleotides in length. Their secondary structure includes four short double-helical elements and three loops (D, anti-codon, and T loops).
Source: RNAcentral
CGGGGUGUGGCCCAAUGGUAAGGCGCUUGGUUUGGGACCAAGAUUUCGGGGGUUCGAUUCCCUUCACUCCGACCA